AGUGAACGCUGGCGGUAGGCCUAACACAUGCAAGUCGAACGGCAGCACAGUAAGAGCUUGCUCUUACGGGUGGCGAGUGGCGGACGGGUGAGGAAUACAUCGGAAUCUACUUUUUCGUGGGGGAUAACGUAGGGAAACUUACGCUAAUACCUCAUACGACCUACGGGUGAAAGUAGGGGAUCUUCGGACCUUGCGCGAUUGAAUGAGCCGAUGUCGGAUUAGCUAGUUGGCGGGGUAAAGGCCCACCAAGGCGACGAUCCGUAGCUGGUCUGAGAGGAUGAUCAGCCACACUGGAACUGAGACACGGUCCAGACUCCUAAGGGAGGCAGCAGUGGGGAAUAUUGGACAAUGGGCGAAAGCCUGAUCCAGCCAUACCGCGUGGGUGAAGAAGGCCUUCGGGUUGUAAAGCCCUUUUGUUGGGAAAGAAAAGCAGCAGGUUAAUAACCCGCUGUUCUGACGGUACCCAAAGAAUAAGCACCGGCUAACUUCGUG
RNAcentral lists this ribosomal RNA (492 nucleotides) under uncultured bacterium. RNAcentral describes it as "partial 16S ribosomal RNA". It matches the Rfam family "Bacterial small subunit ribosomal RNA", at positions 29 to 507 of the family's 1533-position model. The record is from RNAcentral.